GGCGAACGGGUGAGUAACACGUGAGUAACCUGCCCUUGACUUUGGGAUAACUUCAGGAAACUGGGGCUAAUACCGGAUAGGAGCUCCUGCUGCAUGAUGGGGGUUGGAAAGUUUCGGCGGUUGGGGAUGGACUCGCGGCUUAUCAGCUUGUUGGUGGGGUAGUGGCUUACCAAGGCUUUGACGGGUAGCCGGCCUGAGAGGGUGACCGGCCACAUUGGGACUGAGAUACGGCCCAG
This 236-nucleotide ribosomal RNA is filed under the name uncultured Actinomycetales bacterium. RNAcentral describes it as "partial 16S ribosomal RNA". It matches the Rfam family "Bacterial small subunit ribosomal RNA", at positions 97 to 334 of the family's 1533-position model. The record is from RNAcentral. Lineage: Bacteria; Bacillati; Actinomycetota; Actinomycetes; Actinomycetales.